AUGCUUGCUUUGGCAGCACAUAUAAUAAAAUUAGAAUGAUACAGAGAUUAGCAUGGCCCCUAUGCAAGGAUGACAUGCAAAUUCACAAAGCAUUCCAUAUAUGU
This 104-nucleotide small nuclear RNA is filed under the name Dipodomys ordii (Ord's kangaroo rat). The record is from RNAcentral. Lineage: Eukaryota; Metazoa; Chordata; Mammalia; Rodentia; Heteromyidae.